This 513-nucleotide ribosomal RNA is filed under the name uncultured bacterium. Its description in RNAcentral is "partial 16S ribosomal RNA". It matches the Rfam family "Bacterial small subunit ribosomal RNA", at positions 28 to 523 of the family's 1533-position model. The record is from RNAcentral.
GACGAACGCUGGCGGCAUGCCUAAUACAUGCAAGUCGAGCGAACAGAUGAAGUGCUUGCACUUCUGACGUUAGCGGCGAACGGGUGAGUAACACGUAAGGAAUCUACCUAUAAGCGGGGGAUAACAUUCGGAAACGGGUGCUAAUACCGCAUCAUAUCUUCUUCCGCAUGGAAGAAGAUUGAAAGACGACUCUGCUGUCACUUAUAGAUGACCUUGCGGUGCAUUAGUUAGUUGGUGGGGUAAUGGCCUACCAAGACGAUGAUGCAUAGCCGACCUGGGAGGGUGAUCGGCCACAUUGGGACUGAGACACGGCCCAAACUCCUACGGGAGGCAGCAGUAGGGAAUCUUCCGCAAUGGGCGAAAGCCUGACGGAGCAAUGCCGCGUGAGUGAAGAAGGCCUUCGGGCCGUAAAACUCUGUUAUAAGAGAAGAACAAAUUGUAGAGUAACUGCUACAGUCUUGACGGUAUCUUAUCAGAAAGCCACGGCUAACUACGUGCCAGCAGCCGCCGUAA